This 111-nucleotide ribosomal RNA is filed under the name Cystoisospora belli. RNAcentral describes it as "partial 26S ribosomal RNA". It matches the Rfam family "Eukaryotic large subunit ribosomal RNA", at positions 1 to 112 of the family's 3401-position model. Lineage: Eukaryota; Apicomplexa; Conoidasida; Eucoccidiorida; Sarcocystidae. The record is from RNAcentral.
AAGACCUGAAAUCAGGCGAGGUUACCCGCUGAACUUAAGCAUAUUAUUAAGCGGAGGAGAAGAAAAUAACAAUGAUUCCCCCAGAACGGCGAGGAAGAGGGAUUAGCUUCA